Molecule: ribosomal RNA, 447 nt
Filed under: uncultured Magnetococcus sp.
Lineage: Bacteria; Pseudomonadati; Pseudomonadota; Magnetococcia; Magnetococcales; Magnetococcaceae
Description: bacterial SSU rRNA
Rfam family: Bacterial small subunit ribosomal RNA
Source: RNAcentral
GUGAGUGAAGAAGGCCUUUCGGGUUGUAAAGCUCUUUUCGGUGGGAACGAUUGUGACGGUGCCCACAGAAGAAGCUCCGGCUAACUCCCUGCCAGCAGCCGCGGUAAUACGGAGGGGGCGAGCGUUGUUCGGAAUUACUGGGCGUAAAGGGCGCGUAGGCUGUUUGGCAAGUCGGGAGUGAAAUCCCGGGGCUUAACCUUGGAAUGUCUCUCGAAACUGCCUUACUGGAGUCCGGCAGAGGAUGGUGGAAUUCCCCGUGUAGAGGUGAAAUUCGUAUAUCUGGGGAGGAAGACCAGAGGCGAAGGCGGCCAUCUGGACCGGUACUGACGCUGAGGCGCGAAAGCGUGGGGAGCAAACAGGAUUAGAUACCCUGGUAGUCCACGCCGUAAACGAUGAGUGCUGGUUGUCGCGGGUAUCGACCCCUGCGGCAACGAAGUUAACGCGUUC